RNAcentral lists this signal recognition particle RNA (312 nucleotides) under Vombatus ursinus (common wombat). RNAcentral describes it as "Metazoan signal recognition particle RNA (ENSVURG00010022324.1)". It matches the Rfam family "Metazoan signal recognition particle RNA". From Rfam's summary of the family: The signal recognition particle (SRP) is a universally conserved ribonucleoprotein. It is involved in the co-translational targeting of proteins to membranes. The record is from Rfam by way of RNAcentral. Lineage: Eukaryota; Metazoa; Chordata; Mammalia; Diprotodontia; Vombatidae.
GUCAGGAGUGGUGGUACAUAUCUGUAACCCCAGCUUCUGAGGAACCUGAGGCCAGCAAAUAUCUUGAGCUCUAGAUUUCUGAGAUACGUACAGUGAGUUAUGCCCAUAGGGUGUCUGUAUUAAGGUUGGCAUUAACAUAGUAAGCCCUUGGGACAGAAGGAUCUUUAGGUUGCCUAAGGAAGGAGGAAAGGGCUCAGGUACAAAAUGGAGCAAGUCAAAACUUCUAGGCUAAUUAGUAGUGAGACUGGUCUUACUACUUAUGACUAACCCUCUCACUUCCAGCUUGGGCAAGAUAGGGGGAUGCAGUCUUAU